UGUUCACUGACACUCAAUUGUGUGUAAUAGAACACUCAACUGCACAGUGUGUAACUGAACACUCCUGACAUUCACCUAUGGACAAAAUUAGUUUAAGUACAAGGUGCUAAUGUUAAAGAAUUUUACUCAAUGACAUCGCUCUAAAAUCUCAUUGGUUAGUUUGUAGUUUUCUCACUUCACUGCCACAUGUUUCUCUUUGAAACUCAAGAGAACCAGCUUGGAGAAGUUGGAGCUAGCUGAAGCAACAACUUGAUCUAGUCUAGAUAUAUAAUGAUAUAAUAGUAUCUACCAGUUCUCCAAGGUCUUUUGGUCAAAGAGAGAUCAAUCCAGCACCCAAAGACGCGAGGACACGAGUGUAUCAAAGCAAGACAGCUGUACAUAUAGCCAGGAGUACUCAGUCCUGAUAAUAGCAGCCAUGGAGCUCGUCUACAUGUCUAUGCCAGUGAAUAAGAACCAAGAACAAUGUCAAUUCUUGAUGCUGAAGAAUGUGGAGACAAACAUGAAGAGCCCAUGACAAGCAUGGUAUCCGUCAGACUGCUUUAGCAAAGAAAAUUCUUCAAUUAUGUGACUUUGUACAAAACUUGGUAUAAUUAUACUGCUUAGGUUUCACCAAGGGCGUAUACAGAGAAGAGGGCAUGCAACUCGCCCAAUUCUCAGAAUCAUCCGACUUCGUAUUGAGCUAUUUUUAGAACUGCCCACAAAACGCCCACGCGUAAUCUUUGACCGCACAAGGUAAAUCAAAGUCUUUUUUAUAUCUGUGCUAGCUAGCUAGCUCGAUUGCAGCAUAGUAAAACUAGUUCUCAGCAGCAGUAUGGCUCGUACUAGCAGUGUCAAAGGCAAACCAUCCAACAGUUGCAACUCCAAGAAGAUGAAACCUAGGUACAAUAAACCUGUCUUCCUGAGUCUCUGGUACUUCUUAACAAUGCGCCCAGCACUUAACUUCCCGCUCGAAGGGGUUGUCUUGGACCUGGCUGGACUAGGACUGGUCAUGACACUUCUCUAAAAUAAUACUCCACUGUUAGCUAGCUAGCAAAGGCUAGGCAGCUCUGAUGUACACGCCCAUAAUUAUAACUCCGUAAACAACACCGCCCACUUGUUCACGUCCGUAUACUGGAUUCUAUUUUUAGCAUAUCCGGUCUCUGAUACGAAGUCGGAUGAGUACGUAGGGUACAUAGUGAGUUGCAUGCCCUCUUCUCUGUAUACGCCCUUGGUUUCACUAUAUAUGUACGUUACAUUGUUUUUUUCUUGUGUUUUAUCAACCAUUAUACAUACGUG
This is a long non-coding RNA of Halichondria panicea, 1275 nucleotides long. RefSeq lists it as uncharacterized. The record is from RefSeq and is a predicted model, not a curated record. Lineage: Eukaryota; Metazoa; Porifera; Demospongiae; Suberitida; Halichondriidae. The transcript is spliced from 4 exons.